This 487-nucleotide ribosomal RNA is filed under the name uncultured bacterium. RNAcentral's name for it is "SSU rRNA". It matches the Rfam family "Bacterial small subunit ribosomal RNA", at positions 26 to 518 of the family's 1533-position model. The record is from RNAcentral.
AGAAUGAACGUUGGCGGCGUGGAUUAGGCAUGCAAGUCGAACGGACUUGGUAGCAAUACCAGGUCAGUGGCGCAAGGGUGAGUAAGGCGACGGCAACCAACCCCAUGGUUGGGCAUAGCCGCGGGAAACUGCGGGUAAUUCCCAGCGAUGUUCGUGUCGGGCAUCCGACGUGAACCAAAGUAACAACGCCGUGGGACGGGCCGUCGUGGUAUUAGGUAGUUGGCGGGGUAACGGCCCACCAAGCCUAUGAUGCCUACCGGGCGUGCGAGCGUGGCCCGGCACACUGGGACUGAGACACUGCCCAGACUCCUACGGGAGGCUGCAGUCGAGAAUCUUCGGCAAUGGGCGCAAGCCUGACCGAGCGACGCCGCGUGGAGGAUGAAGGCCUUCGGGUUGUAAACUCCUGUCGAGGGGGAGAAGUCCCGAUGCGAAUCGGGAUUGACCGAUCCCUGGAGGAAGCACGGGCUAAGUUCGUGCCAGCAGCCGC